RNAcentral lists this unclassified non-coding RNA (354 nucleotides) under soil metagenome. Its description in RNAcentral is "partial contains 5.8S ribosomal RNA, internal transcribed spacer 2, and large subunit ribosomal RNA". The stretch from base 1 to 120 matches the Rfam family "5.8S ribosomal RNA", at positions 35 to 154 of the family's 154-position model. The record is from RNAcentral.
GAUGAAGAACGUAGCGAAAUGCGAUAAGUAGUGUGAAUUGCAGAAUUCAGUGAAUCAUCGAAUCUUUGAACGCACAUUGCGCCUCCUGGUAUCCCGGGAGGCAUGCCUGUUCGAGCGUCAUUAAAAUCACUCAAGCUUAGGUUUACCUAUUGCUUGGUCUUGGAGAUGGAAGCCAAUUUAUUGGAAUCCUCUUCGAAAUUCAAUGGCGAAGACCCUUGCUCUCCCAAGUGUAGUAAUAACUUAUGUCACUGAAGGAAGCGAGAAAUCUUCUGCCGUAACCCCCAUAUUUUCUAUGAUUGACCUCGGAUCAGGUAGGGAUACCCGCUGAACUUAAGCAUAUCAAUAAGCGGAGGA